CAAUAGCGUAUAUUAAAGUUGUUGCAGUUAAAAAGCUCGUAGUUGGAUUUGUGGCGUACGGUGUGUUCCGGGCACUUGUUGUCUGAGUAACCUGCUGUUGCCAUCCUUGGGUGGAACCUGUGUGGCAUUAGGUUGUCGUGCAGGGGAUGCCCAUCGUUUACUGUGAAAAAAUUAGAGUGUUCAAAGCAGGCUUAUGCCGUUGAAUAUAUUAGCAUGGAAUAAUGAGAUAGGACUUUUUCGCUAUUUUGUUGGUUUGCGCGAAGAGGUAAUGAUUAAUAGGGACAGUUGGGGGUAUUCGUAUUCCAUUGUCAGAGGUGAAAUUCUUGGAUUUUUGGACGACGAACUACUGCGAAAGCAUUUACCAAGGAUGUUUUCAUUAA
Molecule: ribosomal RNA, 380 nt
Filed under: uncultured eukaryote
Lineage: Eukaryota
Description: partial 18S ribosomal RNA
Rfam family: Eukaryotic small subunit ribosomal RNA
Source: RNAcentral